GAUGAAGAACGCAGCGAAAUGCGAUAAAUAAUGUGAAUUGCAGAAUUCAGUGAAUCAUCGAAUCUUUGAACGCACAUUGCGCCCAUUAGUAUUCUAGUGGGCAUGCCUGUUCGAGCGUCAUUAAGUCCACUUAAGCCCUGCUUAGUGUUGGGAGACUGCUCCAGCGGUGCUACCCUGUAGCUACCCUGCAGCUCCUCAAAGACAGCGGCGGAGUUGUGGUAUCCUCUGAGCUUAGUAACUUGUUCUAGCUUUCGAGUACACCACUUCCCCUGCCGUAAAACCCUUAAUUUUUAAUGGUUGACCUCGGAUCAGGUAGGAAUACCCGCUGAACUUAAGCAUAUCAAUAAGCGGAGGA
RNAcentral lists this unclassified non-coding RNA (355 nucleotides) under soil metagenome. RNAcentral's name for it is "partial contains 5.8S ribosomal RNA, internal transcribed spacer 2, and large subunit ribosomal RNA". The stretch from base 1 to 120 matches the Rfam family "5.8S ribosomal RNA", at positions 35 to 154 of the family's 154-position model. The record is from RNAcentral.